UGCAGUCGAACGGUGAAGCAGAGCUUGGUCUGUGGAUCAGUGGCGAACGGGUGAGUAACACGUGAGCAACCUGCCCCGGACUCUGGGAUAAGCGCUGGAAACGGCGUCUAAUACCGGAUACGAGAUUCCACCGCAUGGUGAGUUUCUGGAAAGAUUUUUUGGUCUGGGAUGGGCUCACGGCCUAUCAGCUUGUUGGUGAGGUAAUGGCUCACCAAGGCGUCGACGGGUAGCCGGCCUGAGAGGGUGACCGGCCACACUGGGACUGAGACACGGCCCAGACUCCUACGGGAGGCAGCAGUGGGGAAUAUUGCACAAUGGGCGGAAGCCUGAUGCAGCAACGCCGCGUGAGGGAUGACGGCCUUCGGGUUGUAAACCUCUUUUAGCAGGGAAGAAGCGAAAGUGACGGUACCUGCAGAAAAAGCGCCGGCUAACUACGUGCCAGCAGCCGCGGUAAUACGUAGGGCGCAAGCGUUAUCCGGAAUUAUUGGGCGUAAAGAGCUCGUAGGCGGUUUGUCGCGUCUGCUGUGAAAUCCCGAGGCUCAACCUCGGGUCUGCAGUGGGUACGGGCAGACUAGAGUGCGGUAGGGGAGAUUGGAAUUCCUGGUGUAGCGGUGGAAUGCGCAGAUAUCAGGAGGAACACCGAUGGCGAAGGCAGAUCUCUGGGCCGUUACUGACGCUGAGGAGCGAAAGGGUGGGGAGCAAACAGGCUUAGAUACCCUGGUAGUCCACCCCGUAAACGUUGGGAACUAGUUGUGGGGUCCAUUCCACGGAUUCCGUGACGCAGCUAACGCAUUAAGUUCCCCGCCUGGGGAGUACGGCCGCAAGGCUAAAACUCAAAGGAAUUGACGGGGACCCGCACAAGCGGCGGAGCAUGCGGAUUAAUUCGA
RNAcentral lists this ribosomal RNA (887 nucleotides) under Microbacterium sp. 3Y30. RNAcentral's name for it is "bacterial SSU rRNA". It matches the Rfam family "Bacterial small subunit ribosomal RNA", at positions 56 to 954 of the family's 1533-position model. The record is from RNAcentral. Lineage: Bacteria; Bacillati; Actinomycetota; Actinomycetes; Micrococcales; Microbacteriaceae.